RNAcentral lists this ribosomal RNA (467 nucleotides) under Alkalibacterium sp. M13-C27. RNAcentral describes it as "bacterial SSU rRNA". It matches the Rfam family "Bacterial small subunit ribosomal RNA", at positions 1 to 461 of the family's 1533-position model. RNAcentral also lists the same sequence under 1 other name. Lineage: Bacteria; Bacillati; Bacillota; Bacilli; Lactobacillales; Carnobacteriaceae. The record is from RNAcentral.
UGAGCUUGAAUCCUGGCUCAGGACGAACGCUGGCGGUAUGCCUAAUACAUGCAAGUCGAACGCUGAAGCACUCUGCUUGCAGAGUGCGGAUGAGUGGCGAACGGGUGAGUAACACGUGGGUAACCUGCCCAUAAGAGGGGGAUAACAUCCGGAAACGGGUGCUAAUACCGCAUAGGUGAACGGAGCGCAUGCUCUGUUCAUUAAAGGUGGCCUUGCGCUACCGCUUAUGGAUGGACCCGCGGCGUAUUAGCUAGUUGGUGAGGUAAUGGCUCACCAAGGCGAUGAUACGUAGCCGACCUGAGAGGGUGAUCGGCCACACUGGGACUGAGACACGGCCCAGACUCCUACGGGAGGCAGCAGUAGGGAAUCUUCCACAAUGGGCGAAAGCCUGAUGGAGCAAUACCGCGUGAGUGAAGAAGGUCUUCGGAUCGUAAAGCUCUGUUGUUAGAGAAGAACACGCAGAACAG